This 782-nucleotide ribosomal RNA is filed under the name uncultured bacterium. RNAcentral describes it as "bacterial SSU rRNA". It matches the Rfam family "Bacterial small subunit ribosomal RNA", at positions 8 to 774 of the family's 1533-position model. The record is from RNAcentral.
AGAGUUUGAUCCUGGCUCAGAUUGAACGCUAGCGGGAUGCCUUACACAUGCAAGUCGAACGGCAGCGGGAAGAAAGCUUGCUUUCUUUGCCGGCGAGUGGCGAACGGGUGAGUAAUGUAUCGGAACGUGCCCAGUAGCGGGGGAUAACUGGCCGAAAGGUCAGCUAAUACCGCAUACGCCCUACGGGGGAAAGGGGGGGAUUCUUCGGAACCUCUCACUAUUGGAGCGGCCGAUAUCGGAUUAGCUGGUUGGUGGGGUAAUGGCCUACCAAGGCGACGAUCCGUAGCUGGUUUGAGAGGACGACCAGCCACACUGGGACUGAGACACGGCCCAGACUCCUACGGGAGGCAGCAGUGGGGAAUUUUGGACAAUGGGGGAAACCCUGAUCCAGCCAUCCCGCGUGUGCGAUGAAGGCCUUCGGGUUGUAAAGCACUUUUGUCAGGGAAGAAAAGGUUCUGGCUAAUACCUGGAACUGAUGACGGUACCUGAAGAAUAAGCACCGGCUAACUACGUGCCAGCAGCCGCGGUAAUACGUAGGGUGCAAGCGUUAAUCGGAAUUACUGGGCGUAAAGCGUGCGCAGGCGGUUCGGAAAGAAGGAUGUGAAAUCCCAGGGCUCAACCUUGGAACUGCAUUCUUAACUACCGGACUAGAGUAUGUCAGAGGGGGGGUAGAAUUCCGCGUGUAGCAGUGAAAUGCGUAGAUAUGCGGAGGAAUACCGAUGGCGAAGGCAGCCCCCUGGGAUAAUACUGACGCUCAUGCACGAAAGCGUGGGGAGCAAACA